AGGUACCAUGAUGUUUAUAUUGAUAUUACUUUGCAUAUCCCUGAUGACUUCUUCCAAGACAAGAUUGAGUGGCAGUAGCCACAAUGGAUAUCUUUGUCUGUCUAAUUUCUCAUCUUGGGGAAAGUACUGAAGUUUUCAAGACAAACUUAUGAUGUUAUUUCUCGGCGGACACAACAUCUUUCUUGGUAUGUGGUGCUGAGGAUCGAACCCAGGCCGCACGCAUGCCAGGCGAGCGCACUACUGCUUGAGCCACAUCCCCAGCCCUGAAAUCAUCUUGACUUGGGCACAGAACUGAAUCCUAAUGACAACCACAUCAUCUUGGAAGGGGAUUUUUUCCCAGCAGAGCCUUCAAUUCAGACCUCAGCCUUGGCCAUGUUCUACAUCUGCGUUCCAGACUAGAGAAAUUCGACCAAUCAAGGAGUAAGCUGUGGAGCAAGCUCCGGGACUCCAACACAUGGCCUCAUGCCAAGGGCUGUGCUUAUGGGGCAAGAACUAUAAGCUUUGGCUAGAGUCCUGGAUUGCCACCUUCUCAUUUUUUUCUGUACGUGAAUAGAUGCUAUGUGUUCUGGUUUGUGAAGAUGGUAUUCCUCAACACAGGCUGAACAUGGAUUUCCUCACCUGAAACAACCCAAGAAGCAAAAGCAAGAAGAGGAUAGAGACAAUUCAUGGAUCCACCUGCUGAGCUGAACAGUUUUCCUCUGGUGGGUCCUUCCCCCAUGAUGUGCUUCCUCACCUUGGGCGCAGAACAAUGGUGUUGGCCAUCUCUGAACCAUUCCAUCAUGAAUUCUUUUGAACCAUGCAUUCUUUGGACAUGCCAUGGAUUGCAGUACCCAUCACAGAUACCAGAAGCAACAGAAUAUGAAUCAUGAUGUUUUCAGGAACAGGCAUUUUGGCCAUUUUGACUCCCAUCUACCAUGAGGACUUCACCAGGGCCCUGUCACAUGGAACUACCUGAUCAUGGACUUUCAGCUUCCAAAACUGUCAAAAGGUUUGAGUGUCUGACAUAAUUUUGGUGACUCCCCUGGAGAGCAUUGGGCAGAACCUCCUAGGCUCAGGACUUCCCACAUGACCUGCCAGGAACAGCUAGGCCACCUGGAUCUUCUUUUCUAAUAGUCAAGGCAAGGGGUAAGUUUCUCUAGCCCAUUUUUCCCCAUUUUCUGCAAAAAUACUUCCUCACCCCUCCUUUGUCCUGCAGGUAGGGCUCCCUUUCCUUUACCCAUUAUGUUGCUUCUGUUUUUCUCCUUUUCUUUCUCAUAUUUUCUCUCUCCCCUUCUUUCUCAUUCUCCUAUUUUUCAGUCCCCAUUCUAGUUAGGGACCAAGAUAUGAAGAGGCCUCUAUGGUAAUAAAAUGGGCUGGAUCACUCUGAUAGCUACAAAUCAGGAAAUGGGAGUGUUCCUCCUGAAGUAAUUGCUAGGCCCUGUCCUCUGGUACAUGGAGAGAUGUGAUGUUUGAGUCUUCUACACUUCUUUCUUUUUAUUUUUCUGGAGAGAAGUCAUUUGUUCUUCCUUAUAUUAAAAAAAAAACUGUGGCACUGAAAGUACUAGGACCCCACCAUCAGAAGAUCUAGAUGAUUCAGCUUGUCCAAGGUCAAAUUCAGUCAUCUGAUCCUACUCCUACCCCUCUGAUACUUUCCCUGACAUUGCUACCUCCUGAAUGGUAACACUGACAGUCUCCCCACCACUCUGCUUUGAGAGGCUAGCUCUGAACCCCUCAGAUGAGGCUUCCUUCUAGGACAAAAUUAGAACCAGCUGAUCUUUUUUUUCCUUCCUCAGAGAAUUACCUAAUGGAGAAGGAAGUUUCACUAGUGUGUAUGCCCUCUUUCCUUCACUAGAGUGUGUGUCCCUCUUUUCAUAACAGAUUUAGGAAUAGGCGAGAAAAGGUUCAAGGAUGAAAUUUUAAAGCUAAACUUUCUUUUCCCAUUACCUGCCAAGAUGUGAUGAGAGUACUGGCUAGUUACUGCACUGGAGAAAGUUAGAAUGAUUGCUAAUGCAAGGAAAGCUACAGAUGGAUUUGUGAUCACCUAGCUGCACAGCAGUGUUAAUGAGUUAGGGAGUGAUUCCAUUCCAACAGGAACUCAAAAUAGGGUUACAGCCAGGGGUUUCACUGUAGGGAGUAAAUGGGACACUUCCCUGCUUAGCUAGGUUGUGAAAAGAUAUGCAAUUAAACCUGCAAAUCACAACAAAGUCUAGCUGUGUUUCUAAACAGAAACAGGCAGAUAGAAACUUAUAUAAAAUUACUAAUAUAGAUACUACCUCAGCAGAGGGAAUAGACUCUGAUAGCCAUGAAUUUUUUUUUUACCCAAUCAGCUCUGGACACAGGGAAAACAAAAAUUAGAACAAGAACAUUAACUCCUGUUGCUGCUUUGGUUAAAGAGGCCUUUAAGGUACUUAAUAGAGACAGGGCAGAGGAAGCAAACUAGGAUAGAUGAUUGGCACAAGCAAAAAAGAAAAAGGAAGCUUUCUUCCCUAAUAUGUCUGCCCUUUCAUUAAGGUGACCUUAGGAAAGAGCCCUCCCAGAGGUUUCGAAAUCACCAACAGCCCCAGGGUCCAAUCAGUGUGUUUAAGGCUAUAAUAGCAACCUGGGGCAAUGAAUGCCCUAAUUGUCAAUGAACAGGGCAACAAAGUUGCAACCCACAUCAGAGGCCUCUCUUGAUACCAUUGAAAGAUGACUCUGCCAGGAACUCUGAUCUCAUGGGAGAAACCCUGGGUCACCCUAGAUGUGCAGGUAGGAAAGCUUGUAUAUACUGCAGCUGCCUGUUCUGCCCUGAUCCAACAUAUUGGGCCUUAUCAUACCAGGAGUCUUUGGUUUCAGAAGUACAUGGUAGUGCUUAGAUGAGAUACUUAUCUUUCCCUUCUACUUAAACUAUUGGCUCUCAAACUAUCUGCCAUUUCUUUAUUCCCCAGAAUGUCCUAUCCCUCUGUCAAGAAGGGACAAAACUGCAAGCAAAUGUAUCACUGAAGCCAGACUCACAGGCAUUUAUUUCCUAGGCUAUAAGCAAAAUCCUUAUAAGAGUCCUGAAUGGGAAAGGUGGGUUUACUUUUAGUGGUUCUAAACCCCAAACUAGGAUUUAUCUCAAGACUGGUAACUGUAAGAGUAAAAGAAAUUGAAGUUAAAGUGUAAAAGACUGGGCAUUGUAAGGUUUCUAAGCUGCAAAGCCCUAGUUAAAAAGUAAAGGACUAAAUAUUGUAAAGUUUCUGAACUGC
Molecule: non-coding RNA, 3203 nt
Organism: Ictidomys tridecemlineatus (thirteen-lined ground squirrel)
Lineage: Eukaryota; Metazoa; Chordata; Mammalia; Rodentia; Sciuridae
Source: RefSeq, a predicted model, not a curated record